This is a long non-coding RNA of Gorilla gorilla gorilla (western lowland gorilla), 2291 nucleotides long. RefSeq lists it as uncharacterized. The record is from RefSeq and is a predicted model, not a curated record. The transcript is spliced from 5 exons. Lineage: Eukaryota; Metazoa; Chordata; Mammalia; Primates; Hominidae.
GUGUCCCUGGGCCGGACCGGGUCGUGGGACUGGGUCGCCCCAGGCAGGAGAGCCUGGGAGGGGCGGGCCCCCUCGGCGUGGCAGGGAGAGGUGGAGUGAGGGACUCCCGGGCUCCAGCAUGAGGGCGGGCGCCGCGCGGGGCCGACAGUUGCCGCGGGCCGGGGCCAAUGGGUCCCCGAGCGCCGCCAGCGGCCGGACCACAGUGAGGUGCGUCCGUGGUCCCGGCGCCCCGGGUGAGGGAGGGCUGCUGCCGGUCCUGCCGCUGGGAGCCGCCUGCGACCCGCACCGCCAGCCCCGCGCCCAGCCAGCCGCCGGCACCACGACCCGACGGCCCCGACCUAAUGUAACGCCCCGGGCCGGGGGCGGAAAUCUCCCACCCCCAAGACUCCUGAUGGAGUAGGGUUUGAGCGGCUCGUUCCCCAUUUUACUGUGUACAUAGCACCUUUCACUCUGAUGAUGUUCUGGAUAGCCCAUUCCGCGAGCAAAGGGACUUCGUCAGGUUCAUGGCUAGAUCCAGGGUCCUAGAGUGCCUGGGGCGGAGGAGGCUCGUGCUAAAUAAUUUGCUCAGUGGAAUCACAGAGACCUGGCUUCAGAUCUUGGCCCACCAAUUAAUGUAGACAUGUCAUUUUAUCUUUCUGAGUCUCAAUUUCGUAUCCCUAAAAUUGAAAUUAUAAUAAUAGUAAUUAAUAAUAAUAGCAAACUCAAAGGUUUUCUGUUGGUGUAUUCUUUUCUUUUUUGGGUCAAAUGAGCAAAUGCAUGUUUAAGUGCUUACUGCAAUACCUGACACAUAAAUGCCAAAUAAAUGGUAGUAUAUGAUGUGAGUAUAGCUAGGGAUUUACAUAGCCUAGUCUCCGUAAUGAGCAUACAGGGGGAAAAAAAACCCCAAACAAUUGAAUGCAGUUACAGGAUGGGUGGGGGAGUAGAUUAUUAAUGAGCUGCAAACAUCCUAAAAACCCCCUUUCCCCAUCAGUCUUCACAGACUGCAACACCCCAACCAAAAUGUCUUCCCCAUUCUCUGCUUCGUCCCAGAAAAUGAUGUGAACUUGGCUGCUUGGCCCUGUCUUCACCCGGCCAUAUCCUCAGUCAUUUUUCUUUCCAAAACCAAUCCUUGCCAUUUCCAAGUUGAAUUUGUCAGACCUUGCACGUUUUUCCGGCCUUUUCAAAACUGGAUCCCAAUUCUCUGUAACCAAAUCCAGUACCAGAACUGGCUGACUCAGAAUUUACCUUAGAUGGAAGAUAGGGUAGGAAUUUUGGAAGAAGGAUGACCUUACAGAUCAAGACAGACAAUUGCAGGGUACUAAUUUUAUGUCUUUUUUCUUAACUCUGUCAGGUUAAUUGUUAAUUAUUAUAAUCACAAUCAUGAGGUGGGAGGGUGUGAAGGCCACUGGGAAAAGUAUCUUAUGCACAAAAAUUUCAGGCUCUGAACUGUUAAAAAACAGUUGCCCACAGUGAGCCGGACCCUUUUGAUGCCCUUCAACAAUCACUGGAUAAUUCAUCACGUUGUGCUCAAGGCCCACUACUGAAAAAAUAAAGCAAACCUAGAUGCUCCACCUAGUCAUUUCUUUCCAGAUGGAGGCCCAGAUAAGGUCAUAAUUCCUUCAGAGUCACCCAGUAGAGCUGAGAUGACAACCUCCGUGUUCAGGCUCCUGGACUCUACCCCUCUCUUACAUGGAAACACUCACAUCCAUAUACCAUGAAUACAUGCUGAGAAACUGAAGGAUCCACUCCUUGAAGUUACUAUGGUUCAAACAUUUCUUUUCUCUCAGGAUUGAUGAAAUGAAAACUGGACAUUUGACAUUUGAACCUCUCUCCUGUGUUUGGAAAACUCUCCAUCAAUGUGAUACAAUGGUGGAAAGCGGGGUCUAGGCUCAAUGGAACAGAUGGAGUCUCGCUCUGUUGCCCAAGCUGGAGUGCAGUGGCGGGAUCUCGGCUCACUGCAACCUUUGCCUCCCGGAUUCCAGCGAUUCUUGUGCCUCAGCCUCACAAGUAGUGAUGAGCCCUCCUCUUCAGCUAGGAAAAUGACGGUGUUCAGAAAGUUAAAACUUCUUCUCUGGAAGGAUUUCAUCUUAAAGUUGGGAGACUGGAAGAAAUUAAAGUGUUCUAAAUGGAAGAGCAUUCACCACAUGUGUUCUGUUUUGGGUUGACAUUUAGCUUUUGUUUUUAUUUUAGAAACGGAAGACUCUGGUAGCAAUCCUUGAAAUCUUGAUGCCAUUGCUAUUUUCUGCAUUGUAUUGUAUCUUCGUUUUAGUAGUGCUCCAAUAAAAAGACCUGCCACUAGCUGCCAUGCAAUU